RNAcentral lists this ribosomal RNA (163 nucleotides) under Embelia tsjeriam-cottam. RNAcentral describes it as "5.8S ribosomal RNA". It matches the Rfam family "5.8S ribosomal RNA". From Rfam's summary of the family: 5.8S ribosomal RNA (5.8S rRNA) is a component of the large subunit of the eukaryotic ribosome. It is transcribed by RNA polymerase I as part of the 45S precursor that also contains 18S and 28S rRNA. Lineage: Eukaryota; Viridiplantae; Streptophyta; Magnoliopsida; Ericales; Primulaceae. The record is from RNAcentral.
AAACGACUCUCGGCAACGGAUAUCUAGGCUCUCGCAUCGAUGAAGAACGUAGCAAAAUGCGAUACUUGGUGUGAAUUGCAGAAUCCCGUGAACCAUCAAGUUUUUGAACGCAAGUUGCGCCCGAAGCCAUUAGGCCGAGGGCACGUCUGCCUGGGCGUCUCAC